This is a long non-coding RNA of Eriocheir sinensis (Chinese mitten crab), 1395 nucleotides long. RefSeq lists it as uncharacterized. NCBI's taxonomy places the organism in Eukaryota, Metazoa, Arthropoda, Malacostraca, Decapoda, Varunidae. The transcript has 3 exons. The record is from RefSeq and is a predicted model, not a curated record.
GGAAGACGAGGAAGACAUGCGGGGGCACGCACUACUACUACUGCUGUUGGUGGCCGCGUCGGUGUUAAGGCCAGCAAGCCCCCGGCCGUUCUUCUUCGACAAAUACAUCUUCAAGGGAAAGAGCUUCGGAUUCGGCCACCCCUAUCCUGUCUACGUCCCUGUUCACGUGCCUAUCCACCACAAGCACGUCGUCCACUACGUUCACCACGGCAAGGGCACCAGCAGCUACUCCGAAGGGCACAGUAGUGGAGGAUAUGGUGGAGGAGGGUUUAGUGGAGGCGGUGGAUACGGCGGCGGCGGCGGGGGAUACGGCGGCGGCAGCGGGGGAUACGGCGGCGGCGUCGGUGGUGGAUAUGGCGGGAUCAGCUUCGGAGGUACUGGAUUUGGCGGUGGGCAUGGAGGUGGUGGUCUGUAUGGUGGUGGUUAUGGAGGUCACAAAUAAAACAAAGAAAAAAUGCAGGAUUAUAAACAGAGGAAACUACGUUCCUAUAGACUCCGAGAGGCCAUGGAGUUUAUAGUUCCGUUGUUGCAGGUUACAACUAAAAAAAAUAUAGAAUAAGUGCAACAAAACAAGUGCCCUUAUUCUUGGCCGCUUCUCACUGUCAUGACAAAUACUUCCAAAGGUCAUAAAGAAGAUUUGUCGGGUCCUCAUGAGUGUGUAUCACGUUCAUGGUCCAGAAGCCUUGCCAAACUAUCACUAUGCUCAUGAAACUAUGCAUGGAAAUACUAACAACUUCUACCUAAGUCUUAUCAAAUCUUGGUGUGUAAGCCCCGAGGUUUUUUUUUUAAUAUGGGCCACAAUGUACAUUCUUUCCUUUCCUCUUUCCCUUUCCUCUUCCAUACUAAGUGGCUUCCUUCUUGCCACUUUUCCUUCUUUCUUUCCUUUUCUUCAUUCCCUCUUUCCCCUCCUUCCCUUCUUCUCAUUUUCCUCCAUGUCUAUCUUCUUGUCACAUUCUCUUCCUUUCUCCUCUCCCACCAUUCUCUUAGUUAUUGUUAUAGUUGUUUGUGUGAGAUUGUAUAUACAUUGUUAAUACUGUGUCAUACAUGGGUUACCUGUCUAUUGCAUUAUAUUACUGUUAAGUACAACCGUUGUAAAAUACGUAAUCUUCUGUUUGUUAAAGUUAGCACCAGUGUUAGUUUGUUAGUUAGUUAGUUUGUUUGUUAUUUAGUUUGUUAUUCACUUAGUUAUUUGAUUAGUUAGUUAGUGUGUGUUUGUGUGUGUUCAUCUGCUGUUUGUUUAAGUUUGUAUCUGUGGAGAUAGUUAGUUAGUUAGUUAGUUAGUUAUUCAGUUGGUUAAUUAGAUAAGUGUGUGUGUGUGUGUGUGUGUGUGUGUGUCUCAUAUAACCGCUGCAUUUUGAUCACUGUUACCUGGUCAAAUAAAGGUGCCGUAUUUUU